Nothoprocta perdicaria is the source of this 631-nucleotide long non-coding RNA. RefSeq lists it as uncharacterized. NCBI's taxonomy places the organism in Eukaryota, Metazoa, Chordata, Aves, Tinamiformes, Tinamidae. The record is from RefSeq and is a predicted model, not a curated record. The transcript has 3 exons.
CUGAGGACAGCAGCAUUUGAAGAAGUUUCUGUGGCCAGCCCUUUCCACAGCUCACUCUGGGGCUGAAUACUCUCUUGCCUUCAUCAGCGGAGAUGUUGCACCUGGAUCUGAAUCACUGGAUCAUUUCCUCUCAGAGGACUGAUGACUCGGGUACUUGCAGCCAGUGAUUUCAGGAUUGCUGGUGCUCAUGCUGGAAGUCCUAGAUCCACUGAGGCUGACAAAUCUGAUUAUCCAUCUUCUGUAUAAGACUUAGAGAAAACAAUUGGUGAGUCCUUGGACUUGGAGCUCCACAAGCUUUUUUAUCUGGCAGAGCUUAUGGAAAGAGCCUCCUGGCCCUUCCUUCCUGCCUCGUGCUGUUCUUCCUCUCAAGGCAAAGCUGCAGAGAACCGAGCACAGGUGAAUGUGGCUGCUCUGUGUUUGCUGCUCUAAUGCAAUUGAUUGGCACUGCUGACUUGUCUUCCCAUCCUUUGGACAUGUGAAGAAUGGAUGCAGGCUGGGUCAUCUAGGACUGAGUUGAAUGCUGAGCUGUUCUGUUGACCAGAUGGCUUCAUGAGGUCUGAAAACUGUUACCCGUGCUUACCUUACUCUGCUCAGCCUUCUUCCCUGCAGCUCCCUAGGGAGCCCCACACUG